Molecule: ribosomal RNA, 372 nt
Filed under: uncultured organism
Description: bacterial SSU rRNA
Rfam family: Bacterial small subunit ribosomal RNA
Source: RNAcentral
CGUAGGGUGCGAGCGUUAAUCGGAAUUACUGGGCGUAAAGCGUGCGCAGGCGGUUUUGUAAGACAGGCGUGAAAUCCCCGGGCUCAACCUGGGAACUGCGCUUGUGACUGCAAGGCUAGAGUACGGCAGAGGGGGGUGGAAUUCCACGUGUAGCAGCGAAAUGCGUAGAGAUGUGGAGGAACACCAAUGGCGAAGGCAGCCCCCUGGGUCGAUACUGACGCUCAUGCACGAAAGCGUGGGUAGCAAACAGGAUUAGAUACCCUGGUAGUCCACGCCCUAAACGAUGUCAACUAGGUGUUGGGUGGGUAAAACCAUUUAGUACCGGAGCUAACGCGUGAAGUUGACCGCCUGGGGAGUACGGCCGCAAGGUUA